AACGAACGCUGGCGGCAUGCCUAACACAUGCAAGUCGAACGAUGCCUUCGGGCAUAGUUGCGCACGGGUGAGUAACGCGUGGGAACCUGCCCUGUGGUACGGCCUAACUCCGGGAAACUGGAGCUCAUACCGUAUGUGUCUCCUGGGACAAAGAUUUAUCGCCACGGGAUGGGCCCGCGUAGGAUUAGCUUGUUGGUGUGGUAACGGCCUACCAAGGCUACGAUCCUUAGCUGGUCUGAGAGGAUGAUCAGCCACACUGGGACUGAGACACGGCCCAGACUAGGACGAGAGGCAGCAGUGGGGAAUAUUGAACAAGGGACGCAAGCCGGAGCAAGCAAGGCCGCGUGAGUGAUGAAGGCCUUCGGGUGGGAAAGAUCUUUCGCACGCGAAGAUGAUGACGGUAGCGUGAGAAGAAGCCCCGGCUAACUUCGUG
Molecule: ribosomal RNA, 433 nt
Filed under: uncultured bacterium
Lineage: Bacteria
Description: partial 16S ribosomal RNA
Rfam family: Bacterial small subunit ribosomal RNA
Source: RNAcentral